RNAcentral lists this non-coding RNA (157 nucleotides) under human gut metagenome. The record is from RNAcentral.
UGGGUUCUACUGUAGUCUAUGUAGAUUAAAAGGGAAGUUGAGUGGAAAUCUCACACGGUCCCGCCGCUGUAAUAGAAUAGUUUUUUCAAUAUGCCACUGGGAAACUGGGAAGGCUGAAAAAAUGUAGAAGCUUAAGUCAGAAUACCUGCCUAUUUUA